This 987-nucleotide long non-coding RNA is filed under the name Marmota monax (woodchuck). Lineage: Eukaryota; Metazoa; Chordata; Mammalia; Rodentia; Sciuridae. The record is from RNAcentral.
AUUUUUGUUUUUGUUUUCGUUACAGGUUUGCAGCCAGAAACAGGUAUGGUGGAAGCCAUCAAGACAUCAAAGGAGGAAAGACAAUUGUCCUCAGUGAACGUGUACAUUUGGGCAGCUCCACCACUACCAGCAAUCCCAUCUACAAAUUUGGGGGAUAAAGAAUCAUGGAAAACUUUGAGAAGGAGGUGAGUGAGAUGGAAAAAGCCUCCUUCGAGUGUACCUGGAUCCUGGAUAAACCGAAACCUGAAUGUGAGCCGAGUAUCAUCAUUGAUAUAUCCCUGUGAAAAUUUGAGACCAACAAAUUUUUCAUGACUAUCAUGGAAGCUUCAGGAUGCAGAGACUUUAUCAAAAACUUCAUGGGCGGGGGUGGCACACUGGGUGUAGCUCAGUGAUAGAGCUUAUGGUUAGCACUCAGGAGGCCUCGGGUUCAAUCCCAGCAUUCCUCCUAAAUAUACGUAUAUAUUUAAAAACCCCAUUGCAAGCACAUCUCAAGCUAUUGCUGCAGGUAGUGGGAAUUUAAGUUGGUCUCUCAUGCAUUAGGUAUGAAACAGCUAGCUGUGUUUUUUCCGCUGAGCCACCCUAUAGAGGAGACAGGAGGGACUCUUAUAGAAGGCAGUGCCUACAUUAGGAAAAUUCCCUAUAACCCAACAGUGUUGCAUUCGUGUGAGCGUCCAGCUGGAAAGGUGACAACAUAGGAAGCAGGGGCUACCAUGGCUUGGUUCAAGGGAAGAAGUCACGGUAAAGGUGGCAGAGGAGCCGCAGUCCCCAGGCUCUGAUAUGCUCUAGGGUCAGCCUUUCUGGAACUCUCCAGGCUGGUGAUACACAUUGGUACUGUUGUCCUGGGGCCAAGUGGAGAACGGGGUUUUCAAACCUGGCACCGUGGUCACCUUUGCUCCAGUCAGUGUUACACUGAAGACAAAAUCUUGAACUGCACCAUAAAGUUUUGAGUCCACAGUGUGGUGAAGCACUGGCAGGACAGGGACUUUU